UGGGGAAUAUUGCACAAUGGGCGAAAGCCUGAUGCAGCAACGCCGCGUGAGGGACGACGGCCUUCGGGUUGUAAACCUCUUUUAGCAAGGAAGAAGCGAAAGUGACGGUACUUGCAGAAAAAGCGCCGGCUAACUACGUGCCAGCAGCCGCGGUAAUACGUAGGGCGCAAGCGUUAUCCGGAAUUAUUGGGCGUAAAGAGCUCGUAGGCGGUUUGUCGCGUCUGCUGUGAAAACCCGAGGCUCAACCUCGGGCCGUGCAGUGGGUACGGGCAGACUAGAGUGCGGUAGGGGAGAUUGGAACUCCUGGUGUAGCGGUGGAAUGCGCAGAUAUCAGGAAGAACACCGAUGGCGAAGGCAGAUCUCUGGGCCGUAACUGACGCUGAGUGCAGACGGAAGGUGGGGAGCAAACAGGCUUAGAUACCCUGGUAGNCCACCCCCGUAAACGUUGGGAACUAGUUGUGGGGUCCAUUCCACGGAUUCCGUGACGCAGCUAACGCAUUAAGUUCCCCGCCUGGGGGAGUACGGCCGCAAGGCU
This 535-nucleotide ribosomal RNA is filed under the name uncultured bacterium. RNAcentral's name for it is "partial 16S ribosomal RNA". It matches the Rfam family "Bacterial small subunit ribosomal RNA", at positions 355 to 895 of the family's 1533-position model. The record is from RNAcentral.